AAUAAGUGCAGUUUUGCAUUGUUCAUGUCCAACAUUUGACCGUUCGUCUUAUUUGAAAUUUUUUUAUGAUUAGUAUUUUCGUUGUUAUUAGAUGAUAAAAUAUGAAUAGUACUUUAUGUGACUAUUUUUUUUAAUUUUUUCAUAAUUAAGUAAGACGGAUGGUCAAAUAUUGGACAUGGAAACCCACGGCCACACUUAUU
Molecule: non-coding RNA, 200 nt
Organism: Oryza punctata
Lineage: Eukaryota; Viridiplantae; Streptophyta; Magnoliopsida; Poales; Poaceae
Source: Rfam